This 460-nucleotide ribosomal RNA is filed under the name uncultured bacterium. RNAcentral's name for it is "partial 16S ribosomal RNA". It matches the Rfam family "Bacterial small subunit ribosomal RNA", at positions 338 to 795 of the family's 1533-position model. The record is from RNAcentral.
CCUACGGGUGGCAGCAGUGAGGAAUAUUGGUCAAUGGACGAGAGUCUGAACCAGCCAAGUAGCGUGAAGGAUGACUGCCCUAUGGGUUGUAAACUUCUUUUAUAAAGGAGUAAAACGCGGCACGUGUGCCUUUUUGCAUGUACUUUAUGAAUAAGGAUUGGCUAACUCCGUGCCAGCAGCCGCGGUAAUACGGAGGAUCCGGGCGUUAUCCGGAUUUUUUGGGUUUAAAGGGAGCGUAGGUGGGUUGUUAAGUCAGGUGUGAAAGUUUGCGGCUCAACCGUAGAAUUGCAAUUGAUACUGGCAGUCUUGAGUGCAGUAGAGGUAGGCGGAAUUCGUGGUGUAGCGGUGAAAUGCUUAGAUAUCACGAAGAACCCCGAUUGCGAAGGCAGCAUACUAGACUGUGACUGACAUUGAUGCUCGAAAGUGUGGGUAUCAAACAGGAUUAGAUACCCCAGUAGUC